AACGCUAGCUACAGGCUUAACACAUGCAAGUCGAGGGGCAGCAUAAAAGUAGCAAUACUUUGGUGGCGACCGGCGCACGGGUGAGUAACGCGUAUGCAACCUACCUAUCAGAGGGGGAUAACCCGGCGAAAGUCGGACUAAUACCGCAUAAAACAGGGGCACCGCAUGGUGAUAUUUGUUAAAAAUUUAUUGCUGAUAGAUGGGCAUGCGUUCCAUUAGGUAGUUGGAGAGGUAACGGCUCACCAAGCCAACGAUGGAUAGGGGAACUGAGAGGUUGGUCCCCCACACUGGUACUGAGACACGGACCAGACUCCUACGGGAGGCAGCAGUGAGGAAUAUUGGUCAAUGGGCGAGAGCCUGAACCAGCCAAGUCGCGUGAAGGAAGAAGGAUCUAUGGUUCGUAAACUUCUUUUGCAGGGGAAUAAAGUGCAGGACGUGUCCUGUUUUGUAUGUACCCUGAGAAUAAGGAUCGGCUAACUCCGUGCCAGCAGCCGCGGUAAUACGGAGGAUCCGAGCGUUAUCCGGAUUUAUUGGGUUUAAAGGGUGCGUAGGUGGUUUGAUAAGUCAGCGGUGAAAGUUUGCAGCUUAACUGUAAAAAUGCCGUUGAAACUGUCGGACUUGAGUGUAAAUGAGGUAGGCGGAAUGCGUGGUGUAGCGGUGAAAUGCUUAGAUAUCACGAAGAACUCCGAUUG
RNAcentral lists this ribosomal RNA (692 nucleotides) under uncultured bacterium. Its description in RNAcentral is "bacterial SSU rRNA". It matches the Rfam family "Bacterial small subunit ribosomal RNA", at positions 32 to 715 of the family's 1533-position model. The record is from RNAcentral.